RNAcentral lists this unclassified non-coding RNA (229 nucleotides) under Hevea brasiliensis (rubber tree). Lineage: Eukaryota; Viridiplantae; Streptophyta; Magnoliopsida; Malpighiales; Euphorbiaceae. The record is from RNAcentral.
UUCCCGUCCAUCAAGCAAAAUGCUAAGAUAUCUAUACAUAUUACUCUGGAUCAUCAACUUGAUAUCCUGCAGUUCCUCUGCUGUAAACUUGUUCCCAUACAAAAAUUUGGCCUGCUUGAAGAUAGUGCUGGUUCCAGAGCCUUCAAGGCCAAGCAGAAGAAGUUUCUGUACUUUUUUCUGCUCUAGAUAAUUUGGAACCGUAGUAUAAUUACUAGCCUCAUCUCUCUGU